UUCCGGUUGAUCCUGCCGGAAGCCAUUGCUAUCGGAGUCCGAUUUAGCCAUGCUAGUCGCACGAGUUCACACUCGUGGCGGAAAGCUCAGUAACACGUGGCCAAUCUACCCUCAAGACACGAACAACCUCGGGAAACUGAGGCUAUUCGUGAUACAACUCCCACGGAUGAACACGGGGAGUCACAAACGCGUUAGCGCUUGAGGAUGAGGCUGCGGCCGAUUAGGUAGACGGUGGGGUAACGGCCCACCGUGCCCAUAAUCGGUACGGGUUGUGAGAGCAAGAGCCCGGAGACGGAAUCUGAGACAAGAUUCCGGGCCCUACGGGGCGCAGCAGGCGCGAAACCUUUACACUGCACGACAGUGCGAUAAGGGGACUCCGAGUGCGAGGGCAUAUCGUCCUCGCUUUUGUGUACCGUAGGGCGGUACACGAAUAAGAGCUGGGCAAGACCGGUGCCAGCCGCCGCGGUAAUACCGGCAGCUUAAGUGAUGGCCAAUCUUAUUGGGCCUAAAGCGUCCGUAGCUGGGCCUCGAAAGUCCGUCGGGA
This 544-nucleotide ribosomal RNA is filed under the name uncultured haloarchaeon. RNAcentral's name for it is "bacterial SSU rRNA". It matches the Rfam family "Archaeal small subunit ribosomal RNA", at positions 1 to 547 of the family's 1478-position model. The record is from RNAcentral. Lineage: Archaea; Methanobacteriati; Methanobacteriota; Halobacteria; Halobacteriales; Halobacteriaceae.